RNAcentral lists this long non-coding RNA (574 nucleotides) under Vitis vinifera (wine grape). RNAcentral describes it as "long non-coding RNA (VVIN_LNC002286)". The record is from RNAcentral. Lineage: Eukaryota; Viridiplantae; Streptophyta; Magnoliopsida; Vitales; Vitaceae.
GGUGAGGGAGGAAGUAACGAGUUAUUGAGAAUGAAGACUUCGUCUCUAUUCUAUUUACUUCUAACUCUUUUCCUCGUUUUGUCGUACGGUAUAUUAUCAUUUUUCUUCACGCUCAUAUCUUUAUUUAUAUAUGUUGUUUAUUAUUUCACGAAAUUGACACACACAGAAAUUUAAAAAAAAAAAAAAUUAUAGUGAUAUUGAUGGUUGAAAUUAAGAACAAAAAAAUUUAUUAUUUGAAUUAUUUGAGUGCUCAUAUUCUCUGAAUGAAUCUCUAGUUAUGAUGGGGUUUUGAGUUGAAACUCCCUUAUUAACCUUGCUCAUUAUGAUUGCAUUUUUACGUAUGAUAUCGAAGAAUUACGUUUGAAUGAAAUUGAUUGUGUUUCAGAAAAACAGGUGGAAAGAUGAGUGAAGCGGAAGAAAACUGUGACAGGGCAUUCCAUAUGGUCAAAUGCACUCCAGAGGAAUGCACGAGGCUCUGUGCAGCAUACUAUCCUGGAGGCAGCCAUUGCCGGUCCAAGAUCACUUGUUGCUGCCAAGGAAAAGAGAAAACAACAAAAUAAAUACAAAACAAUUG